Molecule: long non-coding RNA, 730 nt
Organism: Octopus bimaculoides (California two-spot octopus)
Lineage: Eukaryota; Metazoa; Mollusca; Cephalopoda; Octopoda; Octopodidae
Source: RefSeq, a predicted model, not a curated record
UUUAGGGUACAUACGAAGAAUGCUGUACAGGAAUGACUAUUCUAGUGCUGCUUUGUAGGCGACCUAUUUUGUGUUUCCUUCAGGCGCAUACGUAAAUAAUUUGUCUGGAGUGCAAAUACUAUAACAAGCAAAGUAGAACUGUCCAUGCGAAUAGUUCGAUAUGCUAAAGUCCAAUCCGACAAUUUUCAGUGACUGAAUAACAUCAUUAGAAUUAGCAUAUUACCACUAUCUUGUCAGGCACCCAGUUUCAUUUGAGAUGUAAGGUGAAGUAAUCCCUAGUAAAACGUCAUACUAGACGCGUCAGCCUCAUCCACGAAAACAAUAUAUUCCUUUCAACGGACAAUACUACAUAGAAAAAUCGAGACAUAGCUAUGGAGAAGCGAUUAUAGUGUUCUAACCUUCUGGAAGAUGUCAAAAGGAAGACAAACACUGAGUUAUAAUGAUUCCAAUGAACCUUCACACAAAAUGUAAGCUGGUUGAGAACUAACACAAUCACAAAGGAAACCAGUACUUUGGAUGCGACCAUGGUGGAGUACCGUUUUCAGUCGAAAUAAUCGACUCCAUCACUUAUUUCUCGUAAGUCUGGUACUUAUUUUAUCGACCAUACUCCCGAACACCUAAGUUACGAGCACGUUAACACACCCACAUCUGCUCUGAUGCAACACAGAAACACAGAUAUGCAGAGAAACACACACACAGAUAUGCAGAGAAACACACACACAUAUAUAUG